UUCCGGUUGAUCCUGCCGGACCCGACUGCUAUCAGAGUGGGACUAAGCCAUGCGAGUCAACAUAGCAAUAUGUGGCAUACGGCUCAGUAACACGUAGUCAACAUGCCCAGGGGACGUGGAUAACCUCGGGAAACUGAGGAUAAACCGCGAUAGGUCAUCACUUCUGGAAUGGGUAAUGACUUAAAUCUAUAUGGCCCCUGGAUUGGACUGCGGCCGAUCAGGCUGUUGGUGAGGUAAUGGCCCACCAAACCUGUAACCGGUACGGGCUCUGAGAGGAGGAGCCCGGAGAUGGGCACUGAGACAAGGGCCCAGGCCCUAUGGGGCGCAGCAGGCGCGAAACCUCUGCAAUAGGCGAAAGCUUGACAGGGUUACUCUGAGUGAUUUCCGUUAAGGAGAUCUUUUGGCACCUCUAAAAAUGGUGCAGAAUAAGGGGUGGGCAAGUCUGGUGUCAGCCGCCGCGGUAAUACCAGCACCCCGAGUGGUCGGGACGUUUAUUGGGCCUAAAGCAUCCGUAGCCGGUUCUACAAGUCUUCCGUUAAAUCCACCUGCUUAACGGAUGGGCUGCGGAAGAUACUAUAGAGCUAGGAGGCGGGAGAGGCAAGCGGUACUCGAUGGGUAGGGGUAAAAUCCGUUGAUCCAUUGAAGACCACCAGUGGCGAAGGCGGCUUGCCAGAACGCGCUCGACGGUGAGGGAUGAAAGCUGGGGGAGCAAACCGGAUUAGAUACCCGGGUAGUCCCAG
RNAcentral lists this ribosomal RNA (740 nucleotides) under uncultured archaeon. RNAcentral describes it as "bacterial SSU rRNA". It matches the Rfam family "Archaeal small subunit ribosomal RNA", at positions 1 to 750 of the family's 1478-position model. The record is from RNAcentral.